Molecule: ribosomal RNA, 381 nt
Filed under: uncultured bacterium
Lineage: Bacteria
Description: bacterial SSU rRNA
Rfam family: Bacterial small subunit ribosomal RNA
Source: RNAcentral
UACGAAGGGUGCAAGCGUUAAUCGGAAUUACUGGGCGUAAAGCGUGCGUAGGCGGUACGUUAAGUCUGCCGUGAAAGCCCUGGGCUCAACCUGGGAACUGCGGUGGAUACUGGCGUGCUGGAGUGCGGUAGAGGAGGGUGGAAUUCCCGGUGUAGCGGUGAAAUGCGUAGAGAUCGGGAGGAACAUCAGUGGCGAAGGCGGCCCUCUGGACCAGCACUGACGCUGAGGCACGAAAGCGUGGGGAGCAAACAGGGAUUAGAUACCCUGGUAGUCCACGCCCUAAACGAUGCGAACUGGAUGUUGGGCACAUUACGGUGCUCAGUGUCGAAGCUAACGCGUUAAGUUCGCCGCCUGGGGAGUACGGUCGCAAGACUGAAACUC